GAGUGAGUUGAGUUGUCUAUUUGAAAUUUUUCUAUGAGUAGGAAAAAUACUUGUGCUAAUUAAAAUCACAACUCUCUUUUAUAUCUCUGUUUAGUUUUGAGAUGCUCUCUGAUUAGGUUAUCAGUUGAUUAUACAUGCAUGUUCUGACACUGACUUGAGAAAAUUUUAUCUCUGUAAAAUUUUCUUCAGUUUUUUUCUGGUGUUUCAGUGUGGAGCGUCCGGACGGUCCCUCUUGGCGUCCGGACGGGUGGAGUUCAGUAGUUCGGACGGUUCCCGUUUUGGAAUCCGAACAGACGGCGUUCUGGAGUCCAGACGGAAUAUGUUCCACGUCCGGAUGUGAGCUGUCAUCCUCGUCCGAACGGGUAAUUUAAUUCGUCCGGACGUGCGUAACCGUUUUGCUCCUUUCCGAGGCAGCGGGCGUCCGAACGUCAUCAAAACACUGUCCGGACGGGUACCCCACAGAGGCUAUAAAUUGCCCAGAUCGUUGCUUUCUCCCUUCAUACCCCACAAGAUUUUCUCCUUGGCACCUUGUUACUCUUUGAGUGUUGCGUACUGUAUUUCAAAGAGACGAGGCACCCGGCGUAUCGUGACAUUAGGAGGAGGAACAAGAACAAGUGGGUCUCUGAAAUGCUUGGGACGUACAGGAGUGUGGAGAUGGCGGCGCGGGCGCAUGACGUAGCGGCUUUGGCACUUAGGGUAAAAAGUUGAACAAGCUGCUUCGACCUUUCUUCCUUAUUGCUUAACAUGUGGGGCUGCCGACAACUUUAUUCUUUUAUUGCUAAAGCAGAACAACACCGUGUUCGUGUGCCUCGCCGUAAUUCAUUGAAGAGCUAGCAAAGCUAGUCGGUUUGGCCACUGGAAGAAGCUUCGUUCAGGUUCCAGACUCGGCCUUCGCCACCUUUAUUUUUCUAUAAAGAGCAUCCCCAACCAACGGCUCACUUUUUCCUCUCGUUCUGAAAAUCUUUGGUUAAGCGCAGAAGAAUUCUUGUGAAGAGAGAGAUCAUAAGUUACUCCAACCAGCAGCAGGCUCCCGUCGGUGUUCCUUCUCCUCAAGGGUAUCCAAAGGAUGCUUAUACUCCACUAGGGUACCAAAAUGACAGAGUGGAAGAAGAAAGAGCGAGAAAGUCGGGAAGAUGCCGAAAUGACGACGUCGGACGUGUUUUGAGAGAUAAUGAGGAGGGGGGAAUUUCAAAGCGAAAGGAGAGGGGUAUUUUCGAGCUUUUGGGCUAAAAGAGUCGCGUGCACAGCACAUGACUUGCUUUCCAUUUACUUAAACAGCACAAAGUGACAGAUAGGGCCAAAAAAUAAGCAAUUGGUAGUUUGGGGGCCCGGACUGCAAGCACUGGUAGUUUGGGGGGCCAUCUGGAGAAUGGGUGAUAAU
Molecule: long non-coding RNA, 1381 nt
Organism: Alnus glutinosa
Lineage: Eukaryota; Viridiplantae; Streptophyta; Magnoliopsida; Fagales; Betulaceae
Exons: 3
Source: RefSeq, a predicted model, not a curated record